AAAAUUUGAAUUUCAGGUAAACAAAUAAUUUUUAUUAUAAGCAUGUCACAUGUAAUAUUUGGGACAUACUUAUAAUAAAGAAUUAUCCCUUGUUUAUCUGAAAUUCAAAUUUAACUCAGCAUCCUGUGUUUU
This 132-nucleotide microRNA precursor is filed under the name Myotis lucifugus (little brown bat). RNAcentral describes it as "miRNA (ENSMLUG00000020524.1)". Lineage: Eukaryota; Metazoa; Chordata; Mammalia; Chiroptera; Vespertilionidae. The record is from RNAcentral.